This 460-nucleotide ribosomal RNA is filed under the name uncultured bacterium. Its description in RNAcentral is "partial 16S ribosomal RNA". It matches the Rfam family "Bacterial small subunit ribosomal RNA", at positions 338 to 795 of the family's 1533-position model. The record is from RNAcentral.
CCUACGAGUGGCAGCAGUGAGGAAUAUUGGUCAAUGGACGCAAGUCUGAACCAGCCAUGCCGCGUGCAGGAAGACGGCUCUAUGAGUUGUAAACUGCUUUUGUACGAGGGUAAACGCAGAUACGCGUAUCUGUCUGAAAGUAUCGUACGAAUAAGGAUCGGCUAACUCCGUGCCAGCAGCCGCGGUAAUACGUAGGAUUCAAGCGUUAUACGGAUUUAUUGGGUUUAAAGGGUGCUGAGGCGGUCGGAGAAGUUAGAGGUGAACUCCCGAGGCUCAACUUCGGAAUUGCCUCUGAUACUGUUCGGCUAGAGAGUAGUUGCGGUAGGCGGAAGGUAUGGUGUAGCGGUGAAAUGCUUAGAGAUCAUACAGAACACCGAUGGCGAAGGCAGCUUACCAAGCUACUUCUGACGUUGAGGCACGAAAGCGUGGGGAGCAAACAGGAUUAGAUACCCUUGUAGUC